GGACUUGAAAUCCUAAAUUCAAGCAAUCCUCCUGCCUCAACCUCGAGUAGCUGGGACUACAGGUAUACGCCUCCACGUUUGGCUCUUCCUUCCUUUUAGUAGGGGCUGCUGUCAUGCAAGGAGGUCUGGCAGUGGAGGAAGAAGACAUGAGCCUUGGGCCAGACUCUUACUGGAUUCCCACCCCACCUGCCCCGUCUUCAGCAGACAAGCUGGUACCCAGCACAAAGGCUCCAGCUGCUGAGCUGUGUGUGGGAGCCUGGUCUCUGGGUGCCCAGAAUGAAGGGUCAGACCCAGGUCACUGCCUGACUCUUUCUUUCAAGGACCGAAGUAAGAACUACAGGCCUAACAGUAACAUCCCUGGCUAUUUGUAGAAGUCCGCUUGGUCGGUCCAUGCUCUAUAACAUGAAUUUCUCAUACAACCCAUUUUUAGAUGGGGAAACAAGAGCUCAGAGAGGCUAGGUAACUUGUUCAAGAUCACACAGCUCUGAGUGCAAGUGUUCAAACAUAGUCCCCACUUUCCAUCCGUCUCCAAAUCCUGUGCAGUUUCUGGAAUAUUCUGCUGUCACUGUGCCUUGCACAAAUCCAGGUUUUGAUAAAUUCCUGGAUAAUAAAAGGCAGACAUGAGUCAACAUAUAACCAGCUCUUUC
RNAcentral lists this long non-coding RNA (647 nucleotides) under Homo sapiens (human). RNAcentral describes it as "HSALNT0381844". The record is from RNAcentral. Lineage: Eukaryota; Metazoa; Chordata; Mammalia; Primates; Hominidae.